Molecule: ribosomal RNA, 468 nt
Filed under: uncultured bacterium
Lineage: Bacteria
Description: partial 16S ribosomal RNA
Rfam family: Bacterial small subunit ribosomal RNA
Source: RNAcentral
GACGAACGCUGGCGGCGGGCUUAACACAUGCCAGUCGAACGGAAAGGCCCUGCUUUUUUGGGGUUCUCGAGUGGCGAACGGGUGAGUAACACGUGGGUAACCUGCCCUUGACUUUGGGAUAACUUCAGGAAACUGGGGCUAAUACCGUAUAGGAGCUCCUGCUGCAUUGUGGGGGUUGGAAAUUUUCGGCGGGUGGGGAUGGACUCGCGGCUUAUCAGCUUGUUGGUGGGGUAGGUGCUUACCAAGUCUUUGACGGGUAGCCGGCCUGGGAGGGUGACCGGCGACAUUGGGACUGCGAGACGGACCAGUCUCGUACGGGAGGCAGCAGUGGGGAAUCUUGUACAAUGGGAGCACGUCUGAUGAAGCAGCGCUGCGUGUGGGAUGACGGCCUUCGGGUUGUAAAACGCUUUAGCCUGUGACGAAGCGUGAGUGACGGUAACGGGUAAAGAAGCACCGGCUAACUACGUG